This 83-nucleotide transfer RNA is filed under the name Bacillota bacterium. RNAcentral's name for it is "tRNA-Leu". It matches the Rfam family "tRNA". From Rfam's summary of the family: Transfer RNA (tRNA) molecules are approximately 80 nucleotides in length. Their secondary structure includes four short double-helical elements and three loops (D, anti-codon, and T loops). Lineage: Bacteria; Bacillati; Bacillota. RNAcentral also lists the same sequence under 4 other names. The record is from RNAcentral.
GCGCCUGUGGUGGAAUUGGCAGACACGCUAGAUUUAGGUUCUAGUGCGAGAGCGUGGGGGUUCAAGUCCCUCCAGGCGCACCA